Molecule: small nucleolar RNA, 132 nt
Filed under: Dasypus novemcinctus (nine-banded armadillo)
Lineage: Eukaryota; Metazoa; Chordata; Mammalia; Cingulata; Dasypodidae
Description: Small nucleolar RNA SNORA70 (ENSDNOG00000028942.1)
Rfam family: Small nucleolar RNA SNORA70
About the family: snoRNA U70 seems to be exclusive to mammals and is a member of the H/ACA class of snoRNA which contain H (ANANNA) and ACA box motifs. H/ACA box snoRNAs are involved in the conversion of uridines to pseudouridines (5-ribosyluracil) a constituent of structural RNAs (transfer, ribosomal, small nuclear, and small nucleolar).
Source: RNAcentral
CUGCAGCCAAUUAAGCCGAUGGUCUCCCUCCCCGUGGGGCCUGGUGUGCAGUGGCUCGGAGAGCAGCCUCCUUGGUGGUGUACGUGGCUUGUUGCCUUGUACGGGCUGCCCUAAGGGACCGUGGAGACAGCC